Molecule: long non-coding RNA, 553 nt
Organism: Oncorhynchus tshawytscha (Chinook salmon)
Lineage: Eukaryota; Metazoa; Chordata; Actinopteri; Salmoniformes; Salmonidae
Source: Ensembl
GAGUACCAGCUGCAGUUGUGGUGGCAUUGGCUGUUGUAGUGUGGGCUGCAGUUGUGGUUAUAGGGGAAGUUGUAGUGGCAACUGCUGUUGAGGUACCAGCUGCAGUUGUGGUGGCAUUGGCUGUUGUAGUGUGGGCUGCAGUUGUGGUUACAGGGGAAGUUGUAGUGGCAACUGCUGUUGAGGUACCAGCUGCAGUUGUGGUGGCAUUGGCUGUUGUAGUGUGGGCUGCAGUUGUGGUGACAGGUGAAGUUGUAGUAGCAGCUGCAGUUGUAGUAGCAGCCUCUGUCGUAAGAGUGACUGCAGUUGUGGUGGCAGAAAUUGUUGAAGUGUGGGCUGCAGUUGUGGUUGCAGGGGAAGUUGUAGUGGCAACUGCUGUUGAGGUACCAGUUGCAGUUGUGGUGGCAUUGCCUGUUGUAGUGUGGGCUGCAGUUGUGGUGACAGGGGAAGUUGUAGUGGCAACUGCUGUUGAGGUACCAGCUGCAGUUGUGGUGGCAUUGGCUGUUGUAGUGUGGGCUGCAGUUGUGGUGACAGGUGAAGUUGUAGUUGUAGCUGC